This 199-nucleotide long non-coding RNA is filed under the name Elaeis guineensis (African oil palm). Its description in RNAcentral is "long non-coding RNA (EGUI_LNC000408)". The record is from RNAcentral. Lineage: Eukaryota; Viridiplantae; Streptophyta; Magnoliopsida; Arecales; Arecaceae.
UGCAAUCCCACUAUCUCCUUCUUUUCAUUAUAAAGAUCUUUUUCCCUCUGGUCACAUAGCCAUCAUUCGAGUCUCCAAUAUAUAGCAAUCAUACCCCCAAUACAGCCGUGACCAAGCAUAAGACUUGAUGGUCGGAGCAGUUCUAGCUCGCCACAGUCAUGUGGCUAGAAGUCUUCACCUCCACCUUUGCGACAUCUAA